GUCCUUUUGCAAAGUACUAGCUGACUGCCCCACCUACUUCUGUAAUUCUGCACUUCCCUCUUCCUGCCCCUCCCACCACAUUCUUAGAGCAGAACCAGCCACUUGGCUCCAACUAGAAGUGAUCAGUUCCAUGGAGCCCAAUUCCAGGGCUUGCCGAGGGAGGCUAGAUUCUAUUCUGCUAGACCUGGGUGGGGCCUUGGAGGUCUUCUGGUCCCUCCUAUGUGAUAUGAGGAAGUGAAACCAGAGACACUGGCCCUGAACUUCUCAAUACCACAGAGAGAGUCAGUGCCAGGUCCAGGAAUGAACUGUCUGGAUUCAUUUUGAAUAAAUUCUCUUUUCCCCAUUCUUUCUGUUAUACACCAGGGUGGAAAAAGGAGCCAACUUUUCUGGAGACUCAGGACCCAUUUGGCAGAGAAGCACAUAGAAAAGCCAGAGAAUGCAGCCUGGAGAGAUGGAAGAUGCCAGUCAGGUCUCACUAGUGUCUAGGAAUGGAAGGUUUUCUCAGCAUCCAAUACCGACUGGAAGAAGCUCCUGCCAGCCAUGUAAGAAGGACAAUGUCAGGCUCUAAUCAGGGAGAGCCUUGGAGAGCUGAGGAGAUUCCCCAAUUUCUUCCUGCUCAUCAUUUUCAGUCCCUGACGUCCAUUUCCACAGAGGAAUUAGCACACUGAUGGAGGGAGCUACGGUUCGGCUGCUGUGCAGCAGUGCACUGGGUAGAUAAAGUGUGACCAGGGAAGCUGGAAGAAGACUCGAGGAGCUGUGGGGACUGCAGACAUGUUUAUUCUCUCUGGGCAGCAGCAGCAAGGAAUCUUCAAAGACUACUGAUACACUAAGACAGACAAAAGUGGCCCAUUGCCAAGUGGGCAUGCAGGCCAAGUGCUACCAAGGUCAGCAAUAUCACUGUUUACAAAACAUAAGAGAUCAAGCCCUGAGCCUUUGGAGUGGGAGCACUGACUCAAAGACCCUAGACGACCAGAGAACUAACCCUAGGAAGUAUCAAAUAGUGAGAACUCACACAAAGUAAACCACCUGAAUACAACAAUCAGCAUCACCCAACUA
Molecule: long non-coding RNA, 1056 nt
Filed under: Bos indicus x Bos taurus (hybrid cattle)
Lineage: Eukaryota; Metazoa; Chordata; Mammalia; Artiodactyla; Bovidae
Description: lncRNA (ENSBIXG00000002543.1)
Source: RNAcentral